Long non-coding RNA from Monodelphis domestica (gray short-tailed opossum), 1100 nucleotides. RefSeq lists it as uncharacterized. The record is from RefSeq and is a predicted model, not a curated record. Lineage: Eukaryota; Metazoa; Chordata; Mammalia; Didelphimorphia; Didelphidae.
UCUAUUUUUUUUCACCAGCUUCAAUUUCUAGAACUUCCAGAUAAUACGCUCCCCAACCCCCCAAAAAAGAUUGCUACUUCACAGCGUUGUGUGCUCUGCUCCCUCUCACUCAGCAGCCUGCAUGUCUCAGCACAGGGGAAGGAGGAUGCUACUGCUGCUGCCGCUUUGCCUCGGCUGUUGGGAACCAGGCCUCUCAGCUAGGGAAACUAGACCGGGAAAGAGGAGAUAACCCACUGCCGGAGUUGCCCAAGCCUUGUGGGCCGAAUAGGUCGAUCGAACUCUGGCUAAGUGCAGAACAUAUGGGAAAAGGUUUAAGGAAGGAAGAGCCGGGCGAGAGGAAUCGGAAAACUCGAGUGUCUGUCGAAAGUCAAAAAGUUACUAAUCCAGAGAAAGGGGAGUUUAAAGUAGCCUCAAACUGCCUGGAGCGAUUAUUUAAAGUUGUUUACCUAAGGACUCUGAAAGGGGAGAAAGCAUGUGAAAUAUUUUCGAUUUUUGCAAAACAGCAAAAAUGGAAGUGAGCGAAAGAAACUAAACCGGGCAGUUUGGCUUUUGUGUCACUCUUAUCCCUCCACCAGCAGCGAAUGGAGAGAGCUGGGCAGAAAAAUAAAACAAGGUUGGGAGUAAGCUCCAAUGAGAGCUGAAGAGUGGAGUAAAAUCAAAAGCUAGAAAUUGGGGGAAGGGGCUAAAGGAAGAGGCAGAAACGAGGCCGAGCAGACGAGCGGAGGAAAUAGGGGAAGUCCCUUUCAGUGUUUAAAUCAAUCAUCAUUUGCUGUUACCCAUCAAUAAAAAUGGUGUGAACUGUCCGCUGUGGUUAUUUGUCUUGGAAGGAAAUGGAAUUAGCCCGUCGCUGGUGCCCUGGGAUGCCCCGAUUUGGCCAGGUUCGGUUCUUAUUCUCUCCCCUUCCCUCCUUUGGCCCCCUUUCCUGCGCCGUAUGUGAGCCUGAGUCAAGCCACUUCGGCUUCUAAUUGAGCAUCUAGGGUUUUAAUAGAGGCCAUUGUUGGAGCAAUUAGCUAGAGACAAUAACCGGAGAAGAGCGUUUAAUUCGAUUUUAAGGCAGUCUAGGGCCUCAGACCCUUUCCAGGGUUGAGGGAAAAUUGUUU